GCAAGACCGGCGGCAGCGGCUUGUCUUGCUUGCUUCCUUCGCCAGCCUGGGAGCUCUGCCCGCAGCCGCUCGGAGGAGCCUCUUGGCAGCUUCCCGCGUCAAGGUGAUGGUGAACUGAAACAGGACUCUGUAUCAUGCCUUGAAGUGCGUGUCACAUGUUUGGGACCCUUCAUCAUAGAUACCAGGGAAAGAGCUAUCCCAUGGACAGUUUAAGAAGCGGUUCCAAAAAAGAAAGCUGUCUUAUAUUAAUACCAAACAUUUUGUAACUGUUGGUGUAUCCUGCUCCAAAGGAACUAGCAGAACAUUGGUGA
Molecule: non-coding RNA, 311 nt
Organism: Podarcis muralis (Common wall lizard)
Lineage: Eukaryota; Metazoa; Chordata; Lepidosauria; Squamata; Lacertidae
Source: RefSeq, a predicted model, not a curated record